AGCGAACGCUGGCGGCAGGCCUAACACAUGCAAGUCGAACGAACCUUUCGGGGUUAGUGGCGGACGGGUGAGUAACACGUGGGAACGUGCCUUUAGGUUCGGAAUAACUCAGGGAAACUUGUGCUAAUACCGAAUGUGCCCUUCGGGGGAAAGAUUUAUCGCCUUUAGAGCGGCCCGCGUCUGAUUAGCUAGUUGGUUGAGGUAAUGGCUCACCAAGGCGACGAUCAGUAGCUGGUCUGAGAGGAUGAUCAGCCACAUUGGGACUGAGACACGGCCCAAACUCCUACGGGAGGCAGCAGUGGGGAAUCUUGCGCAAUGGGCGAAAGCCUGACGCAGCCAUGCCGCGUGAAUGAUGAAGGUCUUAGGAUUGUAAAAUUCUUUCACCGGGGACGAUAAUGACGGUACCCGGAGAAGAAGCCCCGGCUAACUCC
This 431-nucleotide ribosomal RNA is filed under the name uncultured bacterium. RNAcentral describes it as "bacterial SSU rRNA". It matches the Rfam family "Bacterial small subunit ribosomal RNA", at positions 29 to 504 of the family's 1533-position model. The record is from RNAcentral.